GCCUGAGUGGCUCAGUCGGUUGAGCGUCUGACUUCAGCUCAGGUCACGAUCUCAGCUUGUGAGUUCGAGCCCCGCGUCGGGCU
Molecule: transfer RNA, 83 nt
Organism: Felis catus (domestic cat)
Lineage: Eukaryota; Metazoa; Chordata; Mammalia; Carnivora; Felidae
Rfam family: tRNA
About the family: Transfer RNA (tRNA) molecules are approximately 80 nucleotides in length. Their secondary structure includes four short double-helical elements and three loops (D, anti-codon, and T loops).
Source: Rfam